UGGUAAGUGGCUCAGUGGUAGAGUGCUUGCUUUGCAUGCAUGAGACUCUGGGUUCAAUUUCUCAGUAUCACAU
Non-coding RNA from Dipodomys ordii (Ord's kangaroo rat), 73 nucleotides. The record is from Rfam. NCBI's taxonomy places the organism in Eukaryota, Metazoa, Chordata, Mammalia, Rodentia, Heteromyidae.